Molecule: ribosomal RNA, 250 nt
Filed under: uncultured bacterium
Lineage: Bacteria
Description: partial 16S ribosomal RNA
Rfam family: Bacterial small subunit ribosomal RNA
Source: RNAcentral
UCGAGAAUCAUUCGCAAUGGGCGCAAGCCUGACGGUGCGACGCCGCGUGGAGGAUGAAGGCCCUAGGGUCGUAAACUCCUGUCAUCAGGGAGUAAUGGCUCGUGAAGUAACUAUCACGGGUCUUGAUAGUACCUGAAGAGGAAGGGACGGCAAACUUCGUGCCAGCAGCCGCGGUAAUACGAAGGUCCCAAGCGUUGUUCGGAUUUACUGGGCGUAAAGAGUCUGUAGGCGGUAGAGUAAGUCAGAUGUG